UCUCCAGGCCGGUCCUCAGCGCCUAUGUCUGCCUGUCCCGCCGGGCACCACGCAAAAUACUCUACUGGAAACUGAACCGAGAUAGGGACAAGCAGCAGAAACCAUUAAAGCGCCGCAGGGACAGGCCUGGCCCCGGAAACGCCUUUAGCUCUCGGCCGGAGCGGGCGGGAAGGCGGCAGCGACCCCGGCCUCGCCUCGGGGUAGCGCCAUUUUGGGCAGCCGCAGGAGGCAGCGGGUCGCGCCGCACCGGGGGCGAGGGAGGCCGACAGAGGGGAGAGCGUGUCCCGCCGCUCCCUGUUCUCAGAGGGACGGGGCAGCGGCAAGAAAAGCCUGGAGCAGGACACACAGUUCCCCCAUCAGUGCUGUGAAGACGUGAGCAGGGUCCAGCUCAGCCCAGUCCUCGUUUGCUCACUGCAGUUGUUUUCGAUCGCUUGGCUGGAUCCAAUUCCCAGGAUGCCAGGAUGGGCUUUUUUAACACCUGAAGGGGGCUGCCCACUGCCUCGCACCUUGUCUCGACGCUUACAUCUGCGGGGAGUGGGCGGUGCGGGGCUGUGGCUCUCCUCGCCUUGCCUCCUACACCCGCUCUGCGCUGGCUGGGCUCACACGUAACUGUGGAUUAUUCCUUGCAAGUACUGAGGAAGUGGAGAACAAGGGCAAAAAUAGUUGGGAUUUGAUAGCGUGUGCAACAUCUGACAAACUUCAGUCUCCAAAGGAAGCAGCUAUUGAUUUGUAUCUUUAUUUGUCUUUAUGCAAUUUGGGUGUUGUCUUUAUAUAACUUUUCAUGCGCUUUCUCUAGCAAAUGUGGUGAAGAAAGAAAUGCUGGAUUUUGUGCUUACCCACUUCCCUAAUAAACCCUUUGAAAUAUGUUA
Phalacrocorax carbo (great cormorant) is the source of this 869-nucleotide non-coding RNA. Lineage: Eukaryota; Metazoa; Chordata; Aves; Suliformes; Phalacrocoracidae. The record is from RefSeq and is a predicted model, not a curated record.